AGGAACUUUACCUGGACUUAAAUGUAUAUUGAUCGGUUUAGAAAUAGACUUUCCCUUCGGGGCAAUUUACAAGGUGCUGCAUGGUUGUCGUCAGCUCGUGCCGUGAGGUGUCGGGUUAAGUCCCAUAACGAGCGCAACCCCUAUCGUUAGUUGCUAGCAGGUUAAGCUGAGGACUCUAACGAGACUGCCACCGUAAGGUGUGAGGAAGGUGGGGAUGACGUCAAAUCAGCACGGCCCUUACGUCCAGGGCUACACACGUGUUACAAUGGCCAGUACAAAGGGCAGCUACCUGGUGACAGGAUGCUAAUCUCAAAAGCUGGUCUCAGUUCGGAUCGGAGUCUGCAACUCGACUCCGUGAAGUUGGAUUCGCUAGUAAUCGUAUAUCAGCAAUGAUACGGUGAAUACGUUCCCGGGCCUUGUACACACCGCCCGUCAAGCCAUGGAAGCCGAGGGUGCCUGAAGUACGUUACCGCAAGGAGCGUCCUAGGGUAAAAUUGGUA
This 500-nucleotide ribosomal RNA is filed under the name uncultured bacterium. RNAcentral describes it as "bacterial SSU rRNA". It matches the Rfam family "Bacterial small subunit ribosomal RNA", at positions 964 to 1473 of the family's 1533-position model. The record is from RNAcentral.